AAUCAACGCUGGCGGCGCGCUUAACACAUGCAAGUCGAGCGAGAAAGGGGAGCAAUCCCUGAGUACAGCGGCGUACGGGUGAGUAACACGUGGGUAAUCUGCCUUUUAGUGGGGAAUAACCCUGGGAAACCGGGGCUAAUACCGCAUAAUCCUGUGAAGGGAAAGCAGCAAUGCGCUGAAAGAGGAGCCCGCGGCCGAUUAGCUAGUUGGUGAGGUAACGGCUCACCAAGGCGGNGAUCGGUAGCCGGCCUGAGAGGGCACACGGCCACACUGGCACUGAAACACGGGCCAGACUCCUACGGGAGGCAGCAGUGGGGAAUCUUGCACAAUGGAGGCAACUCUGAUGCAGCGACGCCGCGUGAGCGAUGAAGCCCCUCGGGGUGUAAAGCUCUUUCGGCAGGGACGAUAAUGACGGUACCUGAAGAAGAAGCUGCGGCUAACUACGUGCCA
Molecule: ribosomal RNA, 450 nt
Filed under: uncultured bacterium
Lineage: Bacteria
Description: bacterial SSU rRNA
Rfam family: Bacterial small subunit ribosomal RNA
Source: RNAcentral